RNAcentral lists this ribosomal RNA (468 nucleotides) under uncultured bacterium. RNAcentral's name for it is "partial 16S ribosomal RNA". It matches the Rfam family "Bacterial small subunit ribosomal RNA", at positions 28 to 507 of the family's 1533-position model. The record is from RNAcentral.
GACGAACGCUGGCGGCGUGCUUAACACAUGCAAGUCGAACGGAAAGGCCCUGCUUUUGUGGGGUGCUCGAGUGGCGAACGGGUGAGUAACACGUGAGUAACCUGCCCUUGACUUUGGGAUAACUUCAGGAAACUGGGGCUAAUACCGGAUAGGAGCUCCUGCUGCAUGGUGGGGGUUGGAAAGUUUCGGCGGUUGGGGAUGGACUCGCGGCUUAUCAGCUUGUUGGUGGGGUAGGGGCUUACCAAGGCUUUGACGGGUAGCCGGCCUGAGAGGGUGACCGGCCACAUUGGGACUGAGAUACGGCCCAGACUCCUACGGGAGGCAGCAGUGGGGAAUAUUGCACAAUGGGCGGAAGCCUGAUGCAGCAACGCCGCGUGCGGGAUGACGGCCGUCGGGUUGUAAACCGCUUUCGCCUGUGACGAAGCGUGAGUGACGGUAAUGGGUAAAGAAGCACCGGCUAACUACGUG